RNAcentral lists this small RNA (28 nucleotides) under Bombyx mori (domestic silkworm). RNAcentral's name for it is "ovarian small RNA-30203". The record is from RNAcentral. Lineage: Eukaryota; Metazoa; Arthropoda; Insecta; Lepidoptera; Bombycidae.
UCUUGGGAAUACUACCGCUUUGCUGCAC